Schizosaccharomyces pombe (fission yeast) is the source of this 1156-nucleotide non-coding RNA. The record is from the annotation of a GenBank genome assembly. Lineage: Eukaryota; Fungi; Ascomycota; Schizosaccharomycetes; Schizosaccharomycetales; Schizosaccharomycetaceae.
UUUCCUUUGUUGUAUGCAAGACAGAGAUAUAGAGAAGCAGUGAGAACAAUUAAUAAAUAAAAAUCAGUUAGCGCGCAAAUGAAAAAUAAAGCAUUAAGCAAUGAUGCUUUAAUAAUUUAAUUUAAUUUAAUUUAAUUUAAAUGCUAUAGAUGAUGAAUGAUCAUAUGGUUUUGUGAGUGAGAUGCUGUUUGAGUUGUUGCGCUGGUAAACCACUAUUGGAAAUGCUAGAAAAAUGGGUAGGGGUUUUGAUAUGACUUUAAGUCCGAAUCUGAAAACCGAACCAUUAAUUUUAAUAGCUAGGUAAAAAAGCCACACACAAUCAGAGAUUUUACCAAAACAAGACAUAAAAAAAUCACAUUAUGGAUAUGAGGCAACUGGAGUGUGGAAUUUAAGGAAAUAUGUUUAUAUAAUUAUGAGUUUUCAUUGAGCUACAAAACAGAAGAUAUAUUUCAUUGAAUAAUUUCUGUAGUGAUGACCCACUUUAAAAAAAAAAAAAUUUGAAAGUAGAGUAAACAAAAUGGAAUAUGCCAUUUUUAAAAUACACACUAGAAUGAUCCACACUAGCUAUGGUGAUCUUAAAGUAUAUAUACAUAUCUUCUUAAAUCUUGAAAGUUUUGCUUAUCAGAUCUUUAACGCGCUCCAGUACGAAAAAAUGGCAUGCUUAAAACAACAAUACAAUAAUGUGAUGAGUAAUAAUAUGGGUUAUUAAAAAAGUAAAUUGGAGAAACAAAAAAAUUAAAACAUUGGAAGAGUGUAUAGUUCUCACGGUUUUGCGUUUUAUGUGUUUGAAUUUACAAAUUUCAGUGAUCUUCGCUAUCUUGACAAGUUGCACAAUGGAAAUUGGCACUGCGACCAUGAGUAAAAUAGUUUGAAUUUCAUUUCCAAAUUUAGUUGCGAUGUUUGCGAACAAAUUACUGAGUGAUUUGAAUGUAGAGCAAAGAUGAUUAGUUAGAAGAAACAGAUAGAGGGAAAAAAGAGAAGAGUUAAUAAUUGAAAUAAAAUAAAAAUAAAAAAAGGGAAAUAAGAAAGCAAAAAAAAAAAUUUUAUUAGCUCUUGAAAAUGUGGAUGAAGCACUUCCAAAUAGUAAAAUUUGAUUAGGUAAACAAACCGAAAAGAAUAAAAUGAAUGCCACCGAAAAAAAAAAUGUAUGCAAAAA